This 763-nucleotide long non-coding RNA is filed under the name Anas platyrhynchos platyrhynchos (common mallard). RNAcentral's name for it is "lncRNA (ENSAPLG00000023457.1)". The record is from RNAcentral. Lineage: Eukaryota; Metazoa; Chordata; Aves; Anseriformes; Anatidae.
GGACAUAUGAAGAGAGAGACUGAGAGAUUUUGUCACCCAAUAACAUGACUUUUUCCAAGAAGAGAGUAAAGAUGAAGUAUGCUGGAGAGAUGGAAAGUGGUCAUUGGUAUUGAUAAGCAGCAAUGAAGCUGGCAAUCUUCACACCCAGUAACAAUGAAUAUGUUACUAAAUAUUCAGAUGAAUUGGAGCUUUAUCCUCAGUUCUCUGUCUGCAACACCUGCAGUAACAUCAUUGCAGAACUGGAAUUUUCCCUUGUUUCAACACUCCGCGGUCAUCAAACUAUUCUUCUGUAGCUGCUUUUGUUUCCUGAAAGUCCUGGGUCCUAGCUUGAGGUUCCAGGAGGCACUACAGGACAUCCGUCUACGUGAAAAGACAGUCCCUCCCCUAAAAUACAAAGGGAGGUUGAUUUGGCAAUUCUCCACAGAUAUUUCCAUUUCAUAGAUCAAGAAGACUGAUAAAGCACUAAAAAGAUGGUACCUGUAAUUUCUAUGAAUAUAUGCUGUAUGUGCUCAGUGGAUGUAAGCCUUGGGCCAACCAGUGUUAAUUGGCGCAGCCCCAUUGACUUUGGUUGAACACCAACAAGGGACAGAGAGAUCCUUUUGAUUCCCAAAGCUGUUAGUUACUCAAGCUGAAGCUAGACUGAUGUCUUGAUUUCAGCACUGGUGUGCUAAUUUGCUGACUGCAUUUAAUGACCCUGACAGCUCCUGAACCCACACAAAGAAACCUGAAUAAAGAAUUCACACUGUCGCUCUCUAAGGAGGUU